RNAcentral lists this long non-coding RNA (1502 nucleotides) under Anolis carolinensis (green anole). RNAcentral's name for it is "lncRNA (ENSACAG00000044291.1)". Lineage: Eukaryota; Metazoa; Chordata; Lepidosauria; Squamata; Anolidae. The record is from RNAcentral.
UAUUGAGGAAGGUCAAGUUAUAAUUCUAUUCUGAAUUUUACUAGGUCCCUCUUAUCUGGGUAUUUUAAUCUAUUGAUUCUAUCUUUAUAUUGCUGCUGCAGUUCCCCACCUAUGAAGUGUGACUGAAUUGUAUUGGUGGUUGUUUGAUAUUAUUACUGUUGUAUUAACUUUUGUAUUAACUUUUGUUUUAUUACCUUAUUGUGUUUUAACCUUUGUAUAUUGUACUAAUGUAUUUGUGCUGUUACUUUUGUAACAAUGUGAGCCACCCUGAGUCCCCGCGGGGAGAUGGUGGCGGGGUAUAAAUAAAUUAUUAUUAUUAUUAUUAUUAUUAUUAUUAUUAUUAUUAUUAUUAUUAUUAUUUUAUUAUGACACAGCAAACAGGACAGAUAUGCUGGAUUUCAUAUCACAAAAUCACAAGUCGAACACUUCCCAAGUGUCUAGGACUGUGUGAUGUAUUUUCGGAUGAUGCGCGCAGAUCCCAGCAGGGUGGCCUUUUGCAGUUGGCUGAUCGUAAUUUUGUCAACGUCUAUUGUUUCCAAAUGCCGGCUGAGAUCUUUUGGCACGGCACCCAGUGUGCCCAUCACCACUGGGACCACCUGCACUUGUUUCUGCCAGAGUCUUUGAAGUUCAAUCUUGAGGUCCUGAGAGCGGCUGAGUUUUUCCUGUUGUUUUUCAUCAAUGCGACAGUCACCUGGGAUGGCGACAUCAAUGAUCCAAACCUUGUUCUUUUCCACAACUGUGAUGUCUGGUGUGUUGUGUUCCAGAACUUUGUCAGUCUGGAUUCGGAAGUCCCACAGUAUCUUUGCGUGCUCAAACAUGCAAAGAUACUGUGGGACUUCCGAAUCCAGACUGACAAAGUUCUGGAACAUAACACACCAGACAUCACAGUUGUGGAAAAGAACAAGGUUUGGAUCAUUGAUGUUGCCAUCCCAGGUGACAGUCGCAUAGAUGAAAAACAACAGGAAAAACUCAGCCGCUAUCAGGACCUCAAGAUUGAACUUCAAAGACUCUGGCAGAAACCAGUACAGGUGGUCCCGGUGGUGAUGGGCACACUGGGUGCUGUGCCAAAAGAUCUCAGCCGGUAUUUGGAAACAAUAGACAUUGACAAAAUCACCAUCUGCCAACUGCAAAAGGCCACCCUACUGGGAUCUGCACACAUCAUCAGAAAAUACAUCACACAGUCCUAGACACUUGGGAAGUGUUUGACUUGUGGUUUUGCGAAACGAAAUCCAGCAUAUCUAUCUUGUUUGCUGUGCCAUACAACGUCGUUGUGUUGAUAAUAAUAAUAAUCUUUAUUUUUAUAUCCCGCCCCAUCUCCCCGAAGGGACUCGGGGCGGCUCACAACAGGGACAAGCCCGAACAACAACAACAUAUUUAACAUAAACUUAAAACAUUCCAACAAUACACAAAAUAAAAUAAUGGACAAAUACAUUAAAAUCCAAGCAGAUAACUGAACGAAUGGCAGAGAGAAAUUAACAAAUUUAUAUGGGGCAGAAAAAGAG